RNAcentral lists this ribosomal RNA (420 nucleotides) under uncultured archaeon. RNAcentral describes it as "partial 16S ribosomal RNA". It matches the Rfam family "Archaeal small subunit ribosomal RNA", at positions 323 to 746 of the family's 1478-position model. The record is from RNAcentral.
CUACGGGUUGCAGCAGUUAAGGAAAUUUUACAAUGCACGAAAGUGUGAUAAAAUAAACCAGAGUGCUUCUCUUAGAGAAGCUUUUGUCUGUUGUAAAAAGACAGACGAAUAAGGACUGGGCAAGACCGGUGCCAGCCGCCGCGGUAAUACCGGCGGUCCGAGUCGCAUCCACAUUUAUUGGGUCUAAAACAUUCGUAGCUUGUUUUGUAAGUCUCUUGUGAAAUCUCAUGUCUCAAGCAUGAGGCGUGCAAGAGAUACUACAUUACUAGAGACCGGAAGACGUAAGGAGUACAAUUAAGGUAGCGGUAAAAUGUGUUAAUCUUGAUUGGACUAACAAUAGCGAAGGCACCUUACGAGUACGGAUCUGACAGUGAGGGAUGAAGGCUAGGGUCGCGAAAGGGAUUAGAUACCCGAGUAGUC